Molecule: unclassified non-coding RNA, 358 nt
Filed under: soil metagenome
Description: partial contains 5.8S ribosomal RNA, internal transcribed spacer 2, and large subunit ribosomal RNA
Rfam family: 5.8S ribosomal RNA (bases 1-120)
Source: RNAcentral
GAUGAAGAACGUAGCGAAAUGCGAUAAGUAAUGUGAAUUGCAGAAUUCAGUGAAUCAUCGAAUCUUUGAACGCACAUUGCGCCCGUCAGUAUUCUGGCGGGCAUGCCUGUUCGAGCGUCAUUACGCCCCUCAAGUCCCCUGUGGACUUGGUGUUGGGGAUCGGCGAGGCUGGUUUUCCAGCACAGCCGUCCCUUAAAUUAAUUGGCGGUCUCGCCGUGGCCCUCCACUGCGCAGUAGUAAAACACUCGCAACAGGAGCCCGGCGCGGUCCACUGCCGUAAAACCCCCCAACUUUUUAUAGUUGACCUCGAAUCAGGUAGGACUACCCGCUGAACUUAAGCAUAUCAAUAAGCGGAGGA